CAUGUACUUCCUGCAGUGCAGUUAGAAAUGCCCAUCCGACUCUGCUUGCAAAGGCACAGCUGCUUAAAGACUGUUACCGGAAAGGAAUCCUGAUCCAGACGCCAAGAGAGGGUUCUUGGACUCAUGCAAGAAAGACUUCAGACAAGUACAGACAAUCACCAGGAACUAAGGAACAAGAAGCAUCCAACCCUGCAUCUGUGGGUUUCCUGAGGUGACUCUCAAUUGUCAUAGAAUACGAGUUUUGAAUUUUUGAAUUGCUGUUAAAACUUUCAUCAUGAACACUGAAGUGAGUGAAAAGAGACUUUUGCAGUCAUUUUUUUGUUCUCAGGUCCCUGGACCAUGAAGGGCCACAUCCAAGGAGCUACCCCAGGAGGCCUCUCAUUUGCAUUUGUCCCCGCUAAUGCAGGACAGAGAUCAUGGAAGUUGGGCCCGACUGGAUGAGAUUUGGGGGUCUUUGGAAGUGGAGAAUGUGUUUGCCCUGGGGAAGAGAGGUGAUGUCUAGGAGACCUCUUCACUCAGGGCAAGCUCUAUGACCUGCUUUGACUCCAGAAUGUGGUAGAAGUGGCAUCACAUAAAUUGCAGAGCCUAGGCUUCAAGAGACCUUGCAACUUGCCUCUCACUGACUUGAAGUGCUCCCAUCAGAGCAUCUUGUAAGGAGCAGGUGGAGCAUGUGGACAAGCCAUCCCCACCAGCCCCUGAGACAUGUGAGAGAGGCCAGAACAGGCCAUCCGGACCCCACUGUGCUGGUGGAUGAGACAGCAGAAGGAAUAUCAACCUACCAACAGAAUCCUGAGAAAUGCUCACUCUUACUUCAAGCUGCUGCAUUUUGAUGUUAUGAAACCAUAAAUAACUUAUGAAGUCAUCUUUGCUGACUUAAAGUUUUCCAUAACUUUAUUAUAACAUAUCAAAAUUAUGAAAAAUGUGAAAAGUAGAAAACUGAUGAAUUUUGCUUCUUCAUAUGGUCUUUAAGAAUCUCAAAGGCACUGAAGUUUUUUAUCUUUUCUGUCUUAGAAUAAAAAACCUUGAAUGAAAAUCUGCUUCUUGGAAAAGCAGCAAGGUUUAUGCAGAGGCAAUCUGGUAUUUGUGUGCACUGGCAGCUGAUCAUACCCAGCAUGCACGCACUCUCAGGGCAGAGUCUGAUGCCCCACAUAAUGGGGCAUGGUAAGGACUCCCAUGUCCUUGAGAUAAAAUGAUAAGGAAAAUACACACUGCUAUUAGAAUAACAGGCCCAGCUUCUGCACAUUUUAAUUCCCAAAGUUUUCAUGAAAGACAAUGAUUUUUUGGUACCAUGUUUAACUCUACAAGAAUCAGUAGUGAAAACUAAAAAUGAUACUUUGUGAAAGUUCAUUAAUUUUGUUUUCAGCCAGUGGUGGCCUUGGUCAGAUAGAAUCAAAUCUAUGAUACUUUUUAUCAGAAAUGCUUAUACUGUGUACAAACCCAAAGUGAUGGCUUUCAAAGAUUGAAUUUGAUUAUUUUCUGUAUGGUGCAGAUGAAAAAUUACUACACAGGAGAAGGUGGGUUGGAGGUGCUCACGAGUAACCAGGAAACAGUCUGAAGUUUUUCUGAUACUUCUCCUUGGUCCAACCAAAUGUGAGAUAUAAACACAAACUUGGGAUUCCGUUCUUAUGUUUUGGUUGUUUCAGUCUUUACAGAUGUAUCGAAAGGCUGUCCAAAAAUGUCUGACUUCUGUAGUGUGCCUUCGUAGCACUAGAGGGUUCUGCAGCUGUGAAACUGAAGGCAUUGGCAAGAAGCCCUCCAUCUUCAAACCACUUUCUGCUAAGGUGUGGCUCUAUAAAACCACUAUGAGCUGGGCUUCACUGAGACUGAGUUGUUUCAGUAGGAUCUUCCGGAAAAACAUGUUCCCUCCUUUACCUGGGUUGUCAUUCUGAGAACAAUCACACCUCCAAUUUUGGCUUACUAAGCAAUAGCGUUUUAAUGAUUUUAAGCCAGGAUUUGCUCCUCCUUUCCUCAGUAUGAGAGCUUAACCACUGGAGGAACCAAGAAUUCAUGCUGGUUGGGUUCUGAUUCCACUUUAACUUACUGUAUAGCCUCAUCCCUUGUUUUUCUGGAGAUUCUCUUUUUCUGCUUCACUGAUUUAUAUUUACAUUAAAAUCAAAUGAGGCCAUGUUUCUGAAA
Long non-coding RNA from Homo sapiens (human), 2136 nucleotides. NCBI's taxonomy places the organism in Eukaryota, Metazoa, Chordata, Mammalia, Primates, Hominidae. The record is from Ensembl.